This 67-nucleotide non-coding RNA is filed under the name Bacillota bacterium. Lineage: Bacteria; Bacillati; Bacillota. The record is from RNAcentral. RNAcentral also lists the same sequence under 4 other names.
AGCCGAAACGGUGGAACUUCCACCGUCUGGCGGGAUCGGCCGCCCGCCACUGAUGAGGCAGGCCAGA